UUACGUUGGUUUUUAAAACUUGUAGUUAGACUUUUUUUUUAGAUCGUGAUAGUAGUAGUAAGAGUUAGUUAGGAUGUUUUUGGGUUUUUUUUGUCAAGUAAUUGUUAAGUGUGAUACUUUAAAAAGAUCUACAAUGUACAUUACAACUACAAGUAAUGGUAGGCUAAUUUCAAAUCCCUUCAGAGUUCAGUUCGGGAUAUCAUUAUGUUCUGUUUAAUUCCUGGAUUUUCCUGCUUUUCUCAUGGUCCGUACGCCUUCUGUAUUUCCAAGACUCGUUAUGAAUUCCCACCCAGCCAUAUACACUGGAUGCCACUUAUUGUGAUUGCUUUGGGACCCAGUUGCAUUGAUAACAAUGAAUGAUAACUUUAACCAAUGAAAUAACAAUGAAAGCUGCUAAGGCUAUCAUCCAGUGCCACUAAUUUUGAACUAUUGACUAGAGGGAAGGCAACUGACUGACAGUACCCACCACCAACUCUGGCUACUUAAGUGUUAAAUAAAGUGCAAAUUUAUUACUCACUUUGCAUUGUAUAAUGUUUCUAAUUUGCAACUGGGUAACUGUAUUCUUUAAUGUUGCAUAGCUAAAUUUUAAAAAGUUAGCUGGUUUCAUACCAUUAUUGUAAAUAUGAAACAUUACUCCAGCUAAUGUGGAGCAAAAAUUGUUGCAUGCUAAUAUAAGAAUCUGAAUAGACUUUCUAGUUUUAUUCUUUUUUCAUUCGCUGGUGGUUUUCAAGCUUUUUAAUAUAUCAUUAUAACUAUCAAAAGUUUUAUUUUACAAAAUAAAUUAAUGUUGUUAUAAUUUUUAUGUUGUGUGACUAACUUUAGACUGCUUGAAGAAUUUCAUAAAAUACUAUGUUUUUACUUUUCUUAAGUAUUCAUUUGCCUAAUAAGUAAAAUCAGGUAUGAUUAUUCAUUUCACUAGGUUGUUUAAAAAUUUUUUAAAUAACUGCAUAGGUAUAGAUAUAAUGAUGAAGGCCCUAGGUUGUCAUAAACACACACAAACAUAUAAAACAAUACUAAUUUAUUUUGGAUAACCUUUAAGGAAAAGUGUACAUGGUACUAUUAAAAUGGUUGACUGACAAGUGAAUAAAUAAUUUAUUGUUUCUAAAUACUAAACAGUGCAGUUGCAUUGCCUGAAUGAUACAUUUUCAUGUACCAAGUUUAGGAUUAAAAAAAAUAAGUUAAUUCUAAAUUACUGUGCCUUAAAUCUGAAGACAGUUUCUUCUGACUUAUUUUUUUUUUGUUACUUAAUAAAAUUCUGAAAUUCCAAUUUUAGUCAUUUGUAUAUGUUAAUUCUAAGUAUAUUUCAACAAUUUUAGCUCAUAAAUAUUUUAGAAUCAAUAUUUUGUCAAUUUCUGACAUUUGUGCAGUAUAAUUCAUAAAACAAAAAUGUUCAUAUUUUCAUUUCUUGAACCUCCAAAGUGUUUUGCAUGUCAACAGAACAACCCACAUAUUGAUUUUUUUUUAAUUUUCCUUUCCAUCCUAUAGAAUAAUUUUUAUUUUUACUAAGAACCUAUCACUUUUUAGGAAUAUAUUUUCCAUUUGAUAUUAAAACAUUUCCUUCAGUUCAGCAGUUCUCAAACUGUGACUUGCAAACAUUUUGGGGUUUCUCGAAACAUUUCAGAGGGUUCUUGGAAAAAAUUCUAUAUUGGCGGAAGCAAAAGUUCACGUGCAUCCAUCACACUGAGUAAAUUAUAACUUUAAGACUCCUCGUGAAAAAUGGAAAAGUGAGAAGGGAUUAUUUUUUGCUGUUUUAAAAAUUAAAUAGACUGCUAGUGUUUUUAAAAUUAAGAUGAACAAGUUUAGGCUUAAUCAAAGUGAUACUAUUAUGAACAUAAAAUCUUGGAAGUGUUGCUGUUUUCAUAAUGUAAUAAUAAAUAAUGUAAUAAAAGUGUGAUAAGAAAAACAUA
Molecule: RNA transcript, 1907 nt
Organism: Limulus polyphemus (Atlantic horseshoe crab)
Lineage: Eukaryota; Metazoa; Arthropoda; Merostomata; Xiphosura; Limulidae
Gene name: zinc finger and BTB domain-containing protein 14-like
Exons: 2
Source: RefSeq, a predicted model, not a curated record